RNAcentral lists this ribosomal RNA (253 nucleotides) under uncultured bacterium. RNAcentral's name for it is "partial 16S ribosomal RNA". It matches the Rfam family "Bacterial small subunit ribosomal RNA", at positions 524 to 776 of the family's 1533-position model. The record is from RNAcentral.
UACGGAGGGUGCAAGCGUUAUCCGGAAUCACUGGGUUUAAAGGGUGCGUAGGCGGCUUGAUAAGUCAGGGGUGAAAGCCCGCAGCUUAACUGCGGAACUGCCUUUGAUACUGUCGAGCUUGAAAGAGGUUGAGGUCAGCGGAACGUGACAUGUAGCGGGGAAAUGGAUAGAUAUGUCGCAGUACACCGAUUGCGAAGGCAGCUGGCUGGACCUACUUUGACGCUGAGGCACGAAAGCGUGGGGGGCGAGCAGG